This 35-nucleotide transfer RNA is filed under the name Gymnomitrion obtusum. Its description in RNAcentral is "partial tRNA-Phe". The record is from RNAcentral. Lineage: Eukaryota; Viridiplantae; Streptophyta; Jungermanniopsida; Jungermanniales; Gymnomitriaceae.
GCCGGAAUAGCUCAGUCGGUAGAGCWGAGGACUGA